This 404-nucleotide ribosomal RNA is filed under the name Fusobacteriota bacterium. RNAcentral describes it as "Fusobacteria bacterium partial 16S ribosomal RNA". It matches the Rfam family "Bacterial small subunit ribosomal RNA", at positions 355 to 776 of the family's 1533-position model. Lineage: Bacteria; Fusobacteriati; Fusobacteriota. The record is from RNAcentral.
UGGGGAAUAUUGCACAAUGGAGGGAACUCUGAUGCAGCGACGCCGCGUGAGUGAUGAAGGACUUCGUUUCGUAAAACUCUGUUCUAUGGGAAGAAAAGGCCUGUACCAUAGGAGAAAGCUCCGGCUAAAUACGUGCCAGCAGCCGCGGUAAUACGUAUGGAGCGAGCGUUGUCCGGAAUUAUUGGGCGUAAAGGGUGCGCAGGCGGCUUUACAAGUUGGAUGUGAAAUAUUGUGGCUCAACCACAAACGUGCAUCCAAAACUGCAAAGCUUGAGUUAAGGAGAGGUAAGUGGAAUUCCUAGUGUAGCGGUGGAAUGCGUAGAUAUCAGGAGGAAUACCGGUGGCGAAGGCGACUUACUGGACUUAAACUGACGCUCAGGCACGAAAGAGUGGGGAGCAAACAGG